UUUUGAUGAGAUUUUUUUUAAUAAUUAAUGUUUAUAAUAUUAUUUUCUGGAACAUUUAUAAAAAAUCAAUAAUUCUUGUGUUACAAAGACCACGAAAUAACAUACUGGUUCAAAAGCAUAUUUCGCUCUUGUUUUUAUUAUACAGUUAUGAUAAAAAGUGGAUGACUUAGUGGAUGGAUUCACUGAGAAAAGACAAAUCAAACUUAUUCAUCAAAUACUCACCACACAAAAGUAUAAUACAUCCAUUACAAUACAAAAUUUAUUUUCAAACAUAUAAGUAUACUGACCUAAUCAAUGGUCAUUCUGGCCAUUUAGUCGCUGGCCGUGAGCAACGUUUGUAAAAAUUAUAUCUCAAUACUUGUCUUCAUUAAGACAUGGAUUGAACACAAGAACGAACGAUACCACGGGGAAAUUUUUUAUUUUUUGCUCUUUCUAUGAAAAGAAAAAGUUGAUUUGAUAACGCCAUUAUUGCAUGCUGAUACAAGUAAAGAAAUAGAAAAUAAUAAAAAUGUGUGCUGCAUUUGUCAUAAUCUAUUUAACGAGAAAGUUGUUAAAGUAAAAUGUUGCUCAAGUAUUUAUUGCAAUGAAUGUUAUGAUAAUAUUAUGAAUAUAUACAAUAUUAAUAAAAAAUGCUCCAAAUGCGAUAAAAAUGUAGAUGGUAUGUUUUGUUACAUUCAAAUUUUUGUUAAUAUAAAAAAAAGUUUCUUUUAUCAAACUUUUUGAGCGUGAUAUUAACUAAUCUAAAUAUUAUUCUAUGUUUAAAUCAUUGUUUUAAUGAAACCGACAAAUAGAUUGUUAAUUUUUUAUUAGAUUAAUCUUAGUUUUAUUUUUAUAGGUUUUUAUAUUUGUUUUUCUUGUAACGCAACAUUUAAGAAGGGAUUUAUGUAUGAAAAAACAUGUUGUAAAGAAAAACAUUGUAAAGGUUGUAUAGCGGAAGGAAACAGUAAGAAUUGCAAAAAAAAAUGUAAAAUUUCAGAUAUUAAAUAUAAUAAAAUUCCUGUAAUAAAUGAAUAAAGCCAAAUAACUCAAUAAACGUAAAGAGUAAAAUUUUGCGAAGUUUUUGAAAAUUUAAAAUUAAUUAUUGAAUAUGUUAUAUAAACUAUUAAUUUUAUUGUUCAGUAUAAAUAAAUAUAUAUUUAUCAAUAAUUUUCAUCAGAAUAAAUAAGUAUAGAUGAUUUUUCUAAAACAUUAUUUUAUA
Daktulosphaira vitifoliae (grape phylloxera) is the source of this 1198-nucleotide RNA transcript. RefSeq lists it as uncharacterized. The record is from RefSeq and is a predicted model, not a curated record. The transcript has 7 exons. NCBI's taxonomy places the organism in Eukaryota, Metazoa, Arthropoda, Insecta, Hemiptera, Phylloxeridae.